UGUUUGCAAAUAAACCAUUCUGAUAAAUUAUUUUUGUUGCUUAAAAUAAGAGGAGGAACCGCUGUGUGUUAGCAAGAAUGUCCAUACCUGAUAUGAAAGAGUCAUGUUGGCUUCAGUUCCUACUGCCCUGUGGACUUCCCAUUCCCUCCUUACUUGAGUCAACCAUCCACUCAGUACUUUCCACAAAUCUAAUAAUGAGGUGCUCUCUGUAGGUAAAUCCUUUCACUAUGGCUUGUCCUCAAACCUCCCAAGAAAAGGUUCAACUGCUCAAUCUCUUAACCUUUUUAAUUCCAUUCCCUUGCAGGUAUCCCGGCCCUGCAUAACAAGAUGAUCCCAACUCAAGGAAAGGGGUUUAGCAGUGUUGGAUCUUGGCGUAUGUGGGAUUUAACCAGGCAGAAAGGCAGACAAGAGUAAGAUUCUAGGCAGAGAGAGCAAAUGCGUCGAGCAUGGGUAUGAACAUGUGAGGGAUAGAGAAUAAUUCUGCAGGAAGUUUGCUGGAUGGAAGGGCCUUAUAGGGUUAGAAAAGCUGGUGUCAGAUUGUCAAGGACUUUGAAUGUCAUGGGGCUUCUCUUCCAGGAACACAUGGGAUCAGGCUUAGAUUAACCCAAAUGUAAUUGUCAGAGCCCAGAGAUAUUUCAUGGUCCAGUCCUAGCACUGUGCAGCUGCCAAAAGUCAAAGCCAUUCAAAUCUGUACUGAAAACUGUGGAAAAGCAAAGGAGCACUUAAGUCUCUUUCCCCAUGUCUUGCAUUCUCACUCUCUUUUGCUUCAAAGAUCUGUCUUUACCUGCCCCUGUCCCCAGUCCUAACAAAAAGCACUCCCCUAAAUCAACUCUUAAGUUCCUCUCCCUUCUCACUCCUUUCUUAGUCUCCUCUUUCUGUAAGAAGUUCUUGCUCCUGUUGUUAAUGGAAGUUAAUUAAAGUAGUAUUUCACCUUGUAAGGCUGUAAUUCUUGGCACUUGUUAUCCUCAUUUUCUACAUCCAAAGACCAUGGACCAGAAUAUCUCUUAGGAGGUAAGGGAGAGUGAGGCUAUCAGCCAAAGAAAAAGUCUCCAGGGGGAAGGGGAGAAUCACUUAUAAUUUAAUACUUUGUGGAAAAAACAUCUCUGCCACCUAUGGCCCUCCAAUAACAAUGGAAGACAGAAUCAACAGGUGAGAACCUUGGGACAAAAAUAAGUUACAAAGCUGUUGUAAUCCAGGUAAGAGCUAUUAAGUUUCCAAACGAAGGCUGACUGUGAGGAUAAGUGAUACUGAUUUCAGAAAUCUUUAAAAAGUAGAACCAACAAGCCUUGAGGUCUAACUCUGUUCAACAUUAAAGGGAAGAGUGAGUCUAAGAAGACUUCAGGUUUCUAGCUUGGCCAAACCAAUUGAGCUUUAAGUGAAAUGUGCGAUAUGGUAACAGAGAAGGAAAAAGACAUAACGAUAGAUUUGAGCUGCUGGUGGGAAAUUCUGGUUUAGUGCCCAGCUGGCUGUACAGGCUGGUUGGACUUUAGGAGGGAGGUUUGAGCUGGAAAAUAAAGAUGGAGAGUUGUCUUUCAGUUUUAGAUCAUCAGUGAGGUCAUAAGGGUAGAUGGAGUUUACCUGGGAAAAUUAAGUAGCUAUUCGAUUUGGCUUAUUAUUAUGUUAAAAUAAUACUUCUCUAGUGAAGUACUUAAUAUGCCAGAUACUGUGCCAAGCAUUUUAUAUACAUCCUCUCUUUUACUAAGCCCUCAUAGGGCAGGUAUUUUGAUUCCAAUCAUACUGAUUGGAACUCCUAAGAAGGUAUCUUGCUUAAGGUCCCACAACGAAUAGGUGGCAGAUCCAGGGUAAUUCAGGUCUGUCAGAACAGUGAUUCUUAAUUUUUUCCCUCCUCAGACUCCAGGAGUCACAUGAAGUUAUGCAUCCUGUCUGACCGAGGCACAGGCACACCACAUUUUUAUAUUCCGCUUCCAGGAUAUCACAAACCUGAAGCCCAUCCUCCAUGGCCCAGAGAGAAAACCCAGGACAAAACCUUGGAGAAGACUAUUUUCAUGAAGACAAAUGGAGAAGGAGCAGUAGAGUAAAAAGAGAGCAAAUCCAGCUGCCUGUACAAUCCAUGCCACCGAAUGCCGUAAGUGAGACGUAAAAGUUACGAUACUGAAGAGACGUAACCUGACCAAGGCCACAGAGCUGGAAAAAGAAGCAAAGCCAAGCCGUUUUUCUCAUGCACUGCUCACAACAAGCCCCUCCUUCCACUGACUCAUGAAAAACACACUCAUAAUGCCCAGCCCGCACCCUAAUGAACAGCCCUCUUAAGAGUGGUCAUCAGACUUCAAUUUCACAGACUAGAAUUGAGAAAUGGAACAAAACCUUGGGAUACCAGCCUUCCAUUUUGGUAGGGAUCAUUUAAAAAAUGGUAGGGAUCAUUUAAAAAAUGUGUUGGUGUCUGAAACUUACUUUGAAGUGGUUAAAAAACAUAAAAUGUAUAGAUUGUAACAAGCAAAUAUGUUAAAAUGUACUGUACAAUUCUUUCUUUACAAUUUUAUGGAUGUUCGAAAUUUAAAAAAUACUAGAAAGAGAAUGGUCUUAUUUAAAAAAAA
Molecule: long non-coding RNA, 2555 nt
Filed under: Homo sapiens (human)
Lineage: Eukaryota; Metazoa; Chordata; Mammalia; Primates; Hominidae
Description: PSMD6 antisense RNA 2 (PSMD6-AS2)
Source: RNAcentral